GUGCAAGCCGCCGCGGUAAGACAGAGGGUGCAAACGUUGUUCGGAAUUACUGGGCGUAAAGCGCGUGUAGGCGGCUAAGUAAGUCGGGCGUGAAAUCCCACGGCUCAACCGUGGAAGUGCACUCGAAACUGCAUAGCUAGAGUCCUGGAGAGGAAGGUGGAAUGCUUGGUGUAGAGGUGAAAUUCGUAGAUAUCAAGCGGAACACCGGUGGCGAAGGCGGCCUUCUGGACAGUGACUGACGCUGAGACGCGAAAGCGUGGGGAGCAAACAGGAUUAGAUACCCUAGUAGUCC
RNAcentral lists this ribosomal RNA (292 nucleotides) under uncultured bacterium. Its description in RNAcentral is "partial 16S ribosomal RNA". It matches the Rfam family "Bacterial small subunit ribosomal RNA", at positions 505 to 796 of the family's 1533-position model. The record is from RNAcentral.